Long non-coding RNA from Dreissena polymorpha, 525 nucleotides. RefSeq lists it as uncharacterized. The transcript has 4 exons. The record is from RefSeq and is a predicted model, not a curated record. Lineage: Eukaryota; Metazoa; Mollusca; Bivalvia; Myida; Dreissenidae.
UCACUAUCGAGUCUUAUCUUUCGUUUUGCCAAAAACGGAGAUGUCUUCAUUACUUGGCUUGGCGAGCCGUGUGUAUAUAAAAGGGUCAUUCUUUUGACUUAAUGAUUAAGUAAUCUCGGACCACCACAAGAUAUCAAGAUGAAGUUCGCCGUGUACCUGCUCGUUUUGUUGCCAAUGGUCUACUGUGCCAGCAUCGAGGAGAGAUUCUUAUCCGGAGUAUUUCAGCACCAUUUAAUCGACGUCACGAAACUUCUGCAGUCUUGCCUUGGCUCCGACACCACUGAGGCUGCAUGUCAGGCCGACUGUCCGAGCUGCCUUUCUGCAAUCCCAGGCGGUAGUCUAGGCGCUCCAUUGUUAUGCGGCCCAGCAUGCAAAGAGCUCCAGCACCUUGCCCAAGGACGCUAAUUUAUAAUGGCAUUGGAUAUCUCUUAUCUUGGAAGAAAACAUUAAACGACAUGAAACCUAUUUUGCAAACGUCAUUUUAUCAAAGCAUAUAUAUUAUUAAAACAACAGAGGUAUGAUUGA